GACGAACGCUGGCGGCGUGCUUAACACAUGCAAGUCGAACGGAAACGCCCUGCUUUUGUGGGGUGCUCGAGUGGCGAUCGGGUGAGUAACACGUGAGUAACCUGCCCUUGACUUUGGUAUAACUUCAGGUAACUGGGCUUACUACCGGAUCGGAGCUCCUGCUGCAUGGUGGGCGUUGGAUAUUCUCGGCGGUCGGGGAUGGACUCGCGGCUUAUCAGCUUGUUGGUGGGGUAGUGGCUUACCAAGGCUUUGACGGAUAGGCGGCCUGGGAGGGUGGACGGGGACAAGGGGACUAAGAGACGGCGCAGACGGGUACGGGAGGCAGCGGGGGGGAGUAUGGCACAAUGAGCGGGAGCCUGAGGCAGCAACGUCGCGGGCGGAAUGACGGCCUGCGGGGUAUGAACAGCUGUAGCCUGAGACGAAGCGGGAGUGACGGUAAUGAGUAAAGAAGCACCGGCUAACUACGUG
Molecule: ribosomal RNA, 468 nt
Filed under: uncultured bacterium
Lineage: Bacteria
Description: partial 16S ribosomal RNA
Rfam family: Bacterial small subunit ribosomal RNA
Source: RNAcentral